Long non-coding RNA from Bubalus bubalis (water buffalo), 6584 nucleotides. RefSeq lists it as uncharacterized. Lineage: Eukaryota; Metazoa; Chordata; Mammalia; Artiodactyla; Bovidae. The record is from RefSeq and is a predicted model, not a curated record. The transcript is spliced from 3 exons.
UCUAUGGGGUCGCACAGAGUCGGACACCACUGAAGUGACUUAGCAGCAGCAGCAGCAGGGUGCAUGGUUUGGUGAGCAGAAUUAGAAUGAAGUGACUCUAAGAAGAUGCAAGGCCUAAAAAUAUGGACUGGAUUUUGGCCCCUGUUGUCCUCUGGGCCAGGUGCAGCUGUAUAGGACACAACCUGUGCGGCCAUGUCCAGUGGCCCCACCUCCAUCCCAUUACACACACAGGGCAUCGUGUUACUCAUAGGCAUCACACUCAUGGACACAGGUGCAGGCGCAGAUGAGAACACAUUUUUCACAAACAUAGUCACACGUGUGGCUACAGAAGUACAUGUGGAGACAAUUUGUCUCACCACAGAAGAUGCUCUCGGUGCUGUUUUCUUUAUAUUCCCCACCCUCCUCGGGGACCAGGGGUUUUGGAUGGCUUAUCAAGAGGCCUCUGUGGUCCCUGAUAUGUCUUAUAGCUCACUGGGUACCUGUCCCUUCUCAACAUAGGAACCAGGGUCUCAAUUAUUACAAGAGUGCUUCUAUAGAUAAAGUCAUAGAAAAUACGACCAUUUUCACAGCAGACCUAGGACAGGAAGCUGCUUCUGAGGGCCUGUGUGUUGGGAGUGGACCAAGCCGAGGGAGCUGGGAGUCUUAAGCUAGUAGGAAUUAGACAAGGUUGAGAGGCUAUUCCAGAAUUCUUCACAGCAGAGUUUUCAAGUGCAUGGAAUCCUAGAAAUGAUCGAGCGAUAAUGAUGAUAAUAGCAGUCGUAGAUGAGGUUUCCUGGAACCAGACUCUGAGGCAGGUUGUAGAGCCUGGAAGGUUAUUCAUGGGAGACACAUAAAGAAAGAGGUGGGGAGGCCAAUAGGGCAGCAGGGGAAGCUGACAGCAAGGCAGCUGCUGUGCCGGAGGCCCCAGUCGAUCAUCCAGGAGGCUCUCCAGUCGAGGUAAGAAGGCUGGGCCUUGUAUCCACACAUCAGCCAGUCACUGGCCGUGGACCCCCUUCGGAGGUGGUGUAACCUUGGGAGGGCAGUUUGCUGUGGUCUAAGGCAGGUUCUAAUGAGGGAUGAGCUAUGUGCUCUGGUCAGCUGGAGGACUGGUGCACUGCUCUGAAGAGGGGAUCUGGGCAGAGCUCCAUGGCGUCCAUCACCAUAGGGAUGAGAUGCCAAUAGCCAGCCUGUUGAUCACCUACACCAAGUCUCUAAACCUCCCUGCGUCUUUCCAUCCCAGUAAGGAGCACUGACAUCCAACCUCACUGUUCAGGACAGAAUCAUAGGAGUUGUCCUUGGUCUUCCGCUUCCCUCCUCACAGCCUCCCCAUCGGCAGAAGGAUUUAUUGGCUACACUCCCCACACACAUCCUGAAUCUAUUGCAUCCCCUCCUCUUCCAUCACAAUGCUUUAAGCUGUCACAUCUUCCCUGGUCAUCUGUCGUCACUUCCCAACAGAUCUUUCUGUUCCCACCCUGGUAGCCCUGCCAUCCAUUCUCCACAAUACAGCCAGAAUGAUCUCAAAAUACCACUCUCCUAAGUAAAGCUCUUCAAUUGCUUCUUAUUGAACGUAAGUCUAAACACUUUCCUGUGGGAUGCAAAAGCCCACACAGUUGGUCCCUGCCUCCUUCCCAACCUCUGUUUUCCCCUCUGAUGUAUUACUGGCAAUACAACCUCCAUACUCCAGCUGCACUGCUUUCUCUUGGUUCCUUGAACAUGUCAGGCUUGUUCUUCCCCAGAGCCUUUGCUCUGCUCUACAGCCUAGCUGUAGCAUCUGCCUGGAAUGAUCUUCCCCAGAACCUGCCAUGGCAUGGUCUUAUCAUUCAAGCCUCAGGUCAAAUGUCACCUCCUCAUUAGGCCUCCCCUGGCUGCUGCAGUGAAGUUCUUACUGGAGACAUCAGACCAGCUGAGUUUGAAGAGCAAGGCCCUCUUCUUACAGCCUGAGGGCUAUCUGCACCCAUCAAAGCUCCCUUUGUACCACAUGACCUGGCGACCUGGCAGUGGGGUGUCUCCUUUGAAGGAACAUUCUCACAUGGUCUGUCUUCAGGAUCCCAUAGCUGUGUGGGUGCAACCCAGCUAAACUGAGUGUUGAGUAGGAGGCACUCAGGUAGGUAUGUGACUUAGCCCCACUCUUCCAAGAGAGGUAGCUAGCAUGUGGAAAAGAGAAAUCCCUUCACCGCUGAAUGUUUAAUUGCACUGGAAGCUGCCCAGUUCUUUGGUCCAAUGCUGAAGGGAAAUUUGGUUACUUGAUUUACAAGCAAAGGGCACGUAGGAAUAGAGAUGAGGUUGGAAACAUUCUUAACAUGUGUGUUUUCUUCUGUCAUUAAAGGAAACAAAACAAGCUCUUGCAACGUCUGAAGGAAACCAUCAUCUAAUUUACAAGUAGUUAUUGGGUUCUGACUGUGCCUGAGACGUCAGGCUUGGGUGAGGCCCUGGGACCCCUGGGGCCCAAUAUAGUCUCUUUUGUUGUGGAGUUUAUCUCGGAGUGGGGACGGGGCAACACUUACUGAGAUGCCAUGCUCCAUCCCAACUGGGGUGGGCUUCUCAAAUGUGCAGGGCUCCUCUCAAAGUAGACAGCAGGUUGGAGACCUGAAGCCAAGAGGCUGGGAAGGCAGUGAAGCUAAAGUCCAGGGAGGGGAGCCGGUGGGCUCCAUGGGGCAAAGACCACGAGAAAAGACUUCCCCUAAGAGGUAGACUUGGAACCAGCUCCAGAAGGACCUUGGGCUCUACACAUAAUUCGCUGAAAUAAUGGGCCACUGAAUCCAGCUUCCCAGCACAAUUCUGCUUCUCUGUCUCCUCUCCUCAUCAUUUCUCUCCCCAGCUGGGGAGCACUCAGGAAUAACUUGCUGUGCCCUGGAGGCCACCCUACCUGGCUAGCAUGUUAUAGUCUCCAGCAGCCACACUCCAAGGGUGUUGGAAGCAUGUUGGCACCUUGGAACCUCUUCUUAGAAAAAGCAAACGCUUGGGGUUUGAGCCUCCUCAUGGAUUCCUUUGGAAGGGGGCAGAAACCACCGCCCAGAGGGAUGAAGGGAUGAAGUGGAAAAACAUGGGCUGGCUUCAAAGCAGAGCAGAGGGAGGCUGGGAACAGCUCUGUUUUGUGAACAAAGUCAGGCUAAAAGCACAGAGAAAGAGACAGAGUGAAGGAGCUUGAGAGCAAGGCAGGGAGGGAGUCAGCUCUUGGUAAUUUGAAGUUAAUUUUGAAUUGCCUUGAACAUCACCAUGCAGCAUCCAGUUCUGCCUUUGAUGGUCGAAAGAAACCAGCUGCUUUUAUUCCUCUUCAGGACUUGUUUUGCCCCCAGCAGUGAAGCAAAUUAGGCAAAGCAGCAGUAGAAGUUGCAGUUGGUGUAAUUUCAGAGGAAAAGGUCAGGCUAAUUGUUGGUUAGGAGCUAAGAGGUAUGAGGCAUGUUUCUCCUGCUUGCUCUGUCCUGCUUCCUAUAACGUCUCACUGGCGUCUUCAAAGACAGGCACCCACAGAGGCCUUCAUGACUCAUUGAGGCCCCUUGUCCUAACACUGGUAUGCUUGCACUCUGCUAGGCAUCUGGGGGGCCAGGAGGCGGGUGGCAUGUGGUCUGCUGGCCCGAUCAGGGUCUCCAGGAGCAGCAGAGCUUAGUGCCUGCACCAAACUGCCCUGUAAUACUGCUCUCAGUUCACAAGGUCAGCAGUGUGGAACACCAGGGGAUGGAGCCUGGUUUUCUCCUGUUGCCUCAAGUCUCAUCAUCAGCUCAGCAGUAAAAAUUAAUAUCACGGAGGCUCCCUUGAAGGAUGCACAAUGCACGCUUGUCUCUGGCAGUCGAAAAUGUACUUCUGUACCACAUUUAAGCAGCUGUCUGGGAAGCUCACCUGUGCUGUUUGGGGCCCUUGUAGAGCUGUUUCCUAUGAGCCACAGGCUGGCGGGUUGCCAGCUGCCCGUGAGAAGGACUGGGGAGGGGCUUGACCCUGUGAUGGAUAGAAGAUGGAAAAACUGUCAUCGCAAAACUGCAAGUGGUUUCUCUCUUGACAGAGGUGCAGACGCGAAUCUUUAGGGCCGACUUUUCCUUUGUGCUGAUGAAAUGAGCAGGACAGAACUUUGGGUCCAUAAAGUGCUUUUUCUCCUGCUCUUUGGGGGGAGACCUGAGAAGGACCCUGAACACAGGUGUUGUCAAUGGGAUUGUGGGAGGUGAACUUGUUGCCUAGGUCUGUGCCAGAGCUAGGGCUCUCUUUUUUCCUCUCUCCCCUUUCCUCCUUCCUUUCCUUGCUGUCCCCCCUCCCUCUCCCCUCCCCCUGGGCCACACACCGUAGUCCAGCAGUUUGACCACUGGAUGCUGCUGACCCAGAAAGCAAUUGUGUCCCCUUGGCUGCUUCCUGAGUAACGAUUAGGGUGUAAAGGGUGGGUGUUCUUCAGAUCCCUUUGGGAAAUUCAGGAUCCCGUCCCUGACCAUUCCUGGGCACGGUGUGUCUUUCUUUCCCAACAGCAGCCCCAGGGCAGCCAAAGGGGGACCUGGGGGAUUCAAACUUAAUGCCUGUUCGGCCACCUGGAUUCUAUUGUUGGAUUGCCAUGAUCUUAGAGCAUUAGCAUAGUGACCUCCUACACUGGGCCAUGGGGGCCAAAGUGAGAACCAUGACGGGUCUCUAUAUGCUUUAUGAAAAUGCUCUUGUCACUCUUGCCUCUGAACCUUCUGCACUAAAGGUACGAGUGUGAGCAGGAGAUUAUUGGGAAAGGGUGAUGGUCUCCAGGGAUAGCAUUGGAGUAUGGUUAGCAACCCAACCCCUGGGAAGGGAAUGUUUAGAUUUGUACUCAGAGGUAUGGGGGAGGGAGGGACUAAUGAGAUUAGCCUUUCAGAGCCACCCUGAAGCUUCCCUCCCAAGAGAAUGUCCUCAUGCAGCCCUCCCACCUGGCACACAUUCCGCCUUCCCUGACCAGCCAGCUCUGACCGUGAUUUGGCCCCCACUUCCCUCAGGCUCACUGAAGAGUCUACAGGCCCACGUGCAGCCUAUGCAGCCCCUAAGACAUCCUGCACUACUUGGGUCAUUGCUUUGAAUCAAGGAGAAAGCCUCUGCUUCUCUGCCAACUGCCAUGAGAGGAGGGUGAGCUGACCCAUUCGCUUGUAAGCAUGGACAGUCUUGGACACCUCCCAGUUCUCAACCGCCAUGUCUGGCCUGGACCACUUUUGAGCAUCAUGGGAGGAUGAAAGUUGGAGAGGUUGCUGCUCUAGUCCGUGGCAGGCUGUGCUGCCUGCUGUGUGUGUGCGUCACUUCCAGCACUCUCCUCUGUCCAGCACACGGAGGCAGCUCUCCAUCCAGACCAGGAAAGCUGCCUGGAGAAGUCGGGGAGGGGCUUCUGCAGCCCAACCACGUGGGUCCCUACCAUGAUGCGCCACACAGCACAGCCUCUACUCCCAUCUGCCAAGCAGGGAUGAUGGCAGGUCUUGCUUCAGAGGGAUUUGGUGGGACGCACAGGCGGGCUCAGUCCCAGGAAGCCCUGAUGAAGGUACCACUCAUUUCUGCUGUUACUGUUGCUCUCACAGAUAACAUUUAUUGCCUCGACCUCCACUCAUUCUUUGUAAAGCUUGCCUCUCUCUCUCAACAGCCUGUCUGCAAUCCGAGUUUCUUGUUUCUACACCAAAAUUGGCCAAUUUACCUGGCGCCCCUCACCACCGUCACUGAAUGUGCCUCUAAUCUAAUUAGACUAAUUUCAAUUUCCUGGAUUUAAUUACUUUUAAUUUAAUUAACGUAGAAUGCAGUACACAGGGUGAUUAAUUAGGAAACUCUACCGAGGGACUGGGAAGGUGUACUGCAGCAUGGAAGUGUUUAAAUAUUAUUGUGCUCAUGUCCACCCGUUGCGGCUUCACACCAGAGGCUGCUGCGGCCCUGGGAGGGUUGGAGCCGAGAGAGCCCAGGGAGGGGGCGAGCGGAGCUGGGAUUCUAAUGGAAGUCAGUUGGCACCAAGCAGUGCCCUGUCAUUUCAUGGCUUUCAGCGACAACUAGUGACUUUUACAAAAUCUAUUGAUCUUUAGCUACACUGGGUUUUCGUGGCUGUAUGCAGGCUUCCUCUAGUUUUGGGAGCGGUGGCUUCUCUCGUUGUGGCACAUGGGUGCUGGAGCGCAGGCUCAGUAGGUGUGGCCCCCAGCCUCAGCUGCCCUGCAGCAUGUGGAAUCUUCCCAGACCAGGGAUCAAACCUGUGUCCCCUGCAUUGGCAGGUGGAUUCUUAACCACUGGACCACCAGGGAAGUCCCAAACUGGUGACUCUUCGGGGAAGCAAAGGAAAGACAGCUGAUUCCAGUGAACUAAGUUUGAACUGAGGUAGGAAUCCUAUGAGGUGAGGACGGACUUUGUUGCUCCAGAGAACACAGGUCACUGUUUUUCAUGUACUCAAUAAAUACGCAAAUCAUAGGCUCCCUCUGAGCUCUCACACACUGCAAAUUUUUUCUGCACUCAUGUAUUGACUAUCUGGAAUAAUAUUAAUGUUAACAAAUGCAUAUGUAGUGCUACAUGCCAGGAACUCUUUUAAGUGCUUUUAUAUUGAUUAGCUCAUCAUGGUCCUGGGAAUUAAGUACCAAGCAUGUGUGCAUGCUCAGUCACUGAGUUGUGUCAGACUCUGUGACCCCACCAGGCUCCUCUGUCCGUGGAAU